GCUGGAGAAGGCAGGUUUGCAAGGAAGUCCACUGCUGGAUAAUGGUGAAGGGACAAUAUUUCCCAAGUACUGCUGAUGAAAUGUCAGGCGGAGGCCCAGCCAUCUCCCUCAGAAAGUCGUUCCCUGUGCACGAUGGGCCUGAGCCAACAUACCCAGAACACUGUGGCAAUAUUCCCGUGUGUGGCAACACAUCUGAAACCUGAA
This is a long non-coding RNA of Neopsephotus bourkii (Bourke's parrot), 204 nucleotides long. RefSeq lists it as uncharacterized. The record is from RefSeq and is a predicted model, not a curated record. The transcript has 3 exons. NCBI's taxonomy places the organism in Eukaryota, Metazoa, Chordata, Aves, Psittaciformes, Psittacidae.